CGGCGAGUGAAGCGGCAAGAGCUCAGAUUUGGAAUCGUGUUUCGGCACGAGUUGUAAAUUGCAGGUUGGAGUCUUUGUGGAAGCGUGUGUCCAAGUCCCUUGGAACAGGGCGCCAUUGAGGGUGAGAGCCCCGUGGGAUGCGCGCGGAAGCAACAAGGCCCUUCUGACGAGUCGAGUUGUUUGGGAAUGCAGCUCUAAGCGGGUGGUAAAUUCCAUCUAAGGCUAAAUACUGGCGAGAGACCGAUAGCGAACAAGUACUGUGAAGGAAAGAUGAAAAGCACUUUGAAAAGAGAGUGAAACAGCACGUGAAAUUGUUGAAAGGGAAGGGUAUUGGGCCCGACAUGGGGAUUGCGCAUCUCUGCUCCUUGUGGGCGGGGCGCUGUGCUUUUCCUGGGCCAGCAUCGGUUUUUGCCGCAGGAGAAGGGGUACUGGAAUGUGGCUCCUCGGAGUGUUAUAGCCAGUGCCAGAUGCUGCGUGCGGGGACCGAGGGCUGCGACAUCUGUCUCGGAUGCUGGCACAACGGCGCAAUACCGCCCGUCAUGA
This 543-nucleotide ribosomal RNA is filed under the name Pichia pseudolambica. RNAcentral's name for it is "[Candida] pseudolambica partial large subunit ribosomal RNA". It matches the Rfam family "Eukaryotic large subunit ribosomal RNA", at positions 87 to 657 of the family's 3401-position model. Lineage: Eukaryota; Fungi; Ascomycota; Pichiomycetes; Pichiales; Pichiaceae. The record is from RNAcentral.